Non-coding RNA from Cordylochernes scorpioides, 77 nucleotides. The record is from the annotation of a GenBank genome assembly. Lineage: Eukaryota; Metazoa; Arthropoda; Arachnida; Pseudoscorpiones; Chernetidae.
AAGUAUCCAGGGAUGGGAAUCGAACCCACAGUGUUCCGCUUACCGGGCAGAUGCCAUCUCCACUAGGACAUAAUACC